RNAcentral lists this ribosomal RNA (253 nucleotides) under uncultured bacterium. RNAcentral's name for it is "partial 16S ribosomal RNA". It matches the Rfam family "Bacterial small subunit ribosomal RNA", at positions 524 to 776 of the family's 1533-position model. The record is from RNAcentral.
UACGUAGGGUGCAAGCGUUGUCCGGAAUUAUUGGGCGUAAAGAGCUCGUAGGCGGUUUGUCGCGUCUGCUGUGAAAACUCGGGGCUUAACCCCGGGCCUGCAGUGGGUACGGGCAGACUAGAGUGCGGUAGGGGCGACUGGAAUUCCCAGUGUAGCGGUGAAAUGCGUAGAUAUUGGGAAGAACACCUGAGGCGAAGGCGGGUUGCUGGGCCGACACUGACGCUGAGGCGCGAAAGCCAGGGGAGCGAACGGG